CCCUUAGAUGUUCUGGGCUGCACGCGCGCGACAAUGACGUUUGCAACGAGAUUGCGAGGCCGUCAGGUCGAGCUGAUCUUGCAAGCUGCGUCGUGAUAGGGACAGUCGAUUGCAAUUAUUCGACUCGAACGAGGAAUUCCUUGUAAUCGCGCAUCAUCAGUGCGCGCUGAAUACGUCCCUGCCCUUUGUACACACCGCCCGUCGCUCCUACCGAUUGAAUGCUCAGGUGAGCCAUUCGGACUUUCAUCAUGCUGGUUUCCAGUUUUGACGAAGGAAAGUCUUGCGAACCUUAUCAUUUAGAGGAAGGAGAAGUCGUAACA
Molecule: ribosomal RNA, 320 nt
Filed under: uncultured eukaryote
Lineage: Eukaryota
Description: partial 18S ribosomal RNA
Rfam family: Eukaryotic small subunit ribosomal RNA
Source: RNAcentral